This 253-nucleotide ribosomal RNA is filed under the name uncultured bacterium. RNAcentral describes it as "partial 16S ribosomal RNA". It matches the Rfam family "Bacterial small subunit ribosomal RNA", at positions 524 to 776 of the family's 1533-position model. The record is from RNAcentral.
UACGUAGGCAGCAAGCGUUAUCCGGAAUUAUUGGGCGUAAAGAGCUCGUAGGCGGUUUGUCGCGUCUGCUGUGAAAACCCGAGGCUCAACCUCGGGCCUGCAGUGGGUACGGGCAGACUAGAGUGCGGUAGGGGAGAUUGGAAUUCCUGGUGUAGCGGUGGAAUGCGCAGAUAUCAGGAGGAACACCGAUGGCGAAGGCAGAUCUCUGGGCCGUAACUGACGCUGAGGAGCGAAAGCAUGGGGAGCGAACAGG